This 301-nucleotide ribosomal RNA is filed under the name uncultured bacterium. Its description in RNAcentral is "partial 16S ribosomal RNA". It matches the Rfam family "Bacterial small subunit ribosomal RNA", at positions 509 to 807 of the family's 1533-position model. The record is from RNAcentral.
CAGCAGCCACGGUAAAACGUAGGGUGCAAGCGUUAAUCGGAAUUACUGGGCGUAAAGCGUGCGCAGGCGGUUAUAUAAGACAGAUGUGAAAUCCCCGGGCUCAACCUGGGAACUGCAUUUGUGACUGUAUAGCUAGAGUACGGCAGAGGGGGAUGGAAUUCCGCGUGUAGCAGUGAAAUGCGUAGAUAUGCGGAGGAACACCGAUGGCGAAGGCAAUCCCCUGGGCCUGUACUGACGCUCAUGCACGAAAGCGUGGGGAGCAAACAGGAUUAGAUACCCCGGUAGUCCCUGUCUCUUAUAC